GAAAGAGGCAGUUCUUUUCGACGGCCGCUCUUCUUAAGUAGACCCCGGGGGAAGGGGCGGGGAAAGCCCCACCCGCCCCGCUGGCCUGGCCUGGCCUGGCCUGGUCCGGCCCGCACCGCACCGCACCGCACCGCCGCGGUGUGGGAGAGUUCAGCCCUCGGUGUGUGUUUCAGGAGAGGGCUGAAGACGAAGGGCGAUGUGUGCCGUAACCUUUUCCUUUGUUAGGAGAUUAGGAUCACAGUACCAUAUGAUGAUGAGUCAUCUGAACAAAAGCCAACAUUGUUACUUUUCAACCACUCAAGACUGUUUGAAUCAAAGGAAACAUAGAACAGGAGUGGCAAGUACUGAUAGCCGGCUAUAUAUCAGUCUCGGAAAAGUAUUGCCAGUCUAGACAUAUGUUAUACAAAACAUACUAGGUGG
This 420-nucleotide long non-coding RNA is filed under the name Gallus gallus (chicken). RNAcentral describes it as "long non-coding RNA NONGGAT003884". The record is from RNAcentral. Lineage: Eukaryota; Metazoa; Chordata; Aves; Galliformes; Phasianidae.